RNAcentral lists this transfer RNA (63 nucleotides) under Austropotamobius torrentium (stone crayfish). RNAcentral's name for it is "tRNA-Arg". Lineage: Eukaryota; Metazoa; Arthropoda; Malacostraca; Decapoda; Astacidae. The record is from RNAcentral.
UAUUAGAAAGCGAAGGAUUGCGUUUAGUUUCGACCUAAAUUUUGAAGUUAUCUUCUCUAAUUU